UUAUAAUCUAUCCAAGAUUACAGUUGGAUAGUUUUUUAGACACAAUUCAAAAUCCAAUUUGUUUUGCACAGGAUCACUAACCAAAAUCUAACCCAAGUAAAUCCUUAGCUCACAAUUCAAUUAUAAGAUUUGGAUGAGCUUAUCUCCUAGCUUCAAUUUUCAAUUGAAGCUAGUUAUAGUAGAAAGAUAGAAACAAUGACAAUAAAAUUACAAAAGUUCUUUGGGCAAAGAUAAAGUUCGAAGAAUCUCUUUUUGAUGAAGCCUUUUAGAGGUGGGGCUUGCCUUUUUGCUGAAAGGCUCUUUUGAUUUAAUGUUUGAGGUGGUUAAGGAAUGGAUACACAUUACUCAAUACUUCUAAUCUUUUCUUGUUAUCUCUCACUUUUUUUUUAAUUCUCUUAUGUAUUGAUAAUCUUCAAUGAGUUUGGUGGAUGUUUAACAUUAUUUGAAAGGUUAAAAUUUUAUUUUUGACCGUUAGAAUUCGAAAUAGAGUUGUUGGAAAUAUUUCUGAACUAUUUUAAAAAUUCUGCAGAGCUCAUCGUUAGAUUUUGAGCUGAUUUAGAUAGGAUUCGAGUAGACUCGAAUACCUUUUGAGUCCACUCGAGCUAGAAGUCCAUAAAAUGUUGUCCUCUGUCAUUUCUGAGAACUUUGAUUC
This 652-nucleotide long non-coding RNA is filed under the name Elaeis guineensis (African oil palm). RNAcentral's name for it is "long non-coding RNA (EGUI_LNC066882)". Lineage: Eukaryota; Viridiplantae; Streptophyta; Magnoliopsida; Arecales; Arecaceae. The record is from RNAcentral.